Non-coding RNA from Cajanus cajan (pigeon pea), 433 nucleotides. The record is from RefSeq and is a predicted model, not a curated record. NCBI's taxonomy places the organism in Eukaryota, Viridiplantae, Streptophyta, Magnoliopsida, Fabales, Fabaceae.
CCAUACUAAACCUCCUCUCUUUCUCCCUCCUGCGGUGGCUGCGAGUACGAGGCAGCGUGGAAUGUCUGACGAAUCAAUGCCGACCACCUCCGCAAAGCAUUCUUUGUCGUGGCGGCGCAGCCUCACCAGGGCAACAAGCCUAGCCAGUUGUUCGUUAAGGAAAAUGCCUAAGUUCCUCGUGUGAUUGAAGAACGAAAACGUCUUCACAUAAUUGCUUGCACUAGAAUCCUUCGAUUCUUCUCUAAGUCGUGAUUCUUGCAAUUCAGAUCCGAUGCAUGCGAUUCAUAGUGUGAUUCAAGCACCAAAACAAUUCGUAUAGCCAGCGGCUGGAAUCGUAUCGAAUCGUGUCAUAUUUUAUCAUUUCUUGAAUCGAUAUUUACUAGCACGUUUACCCUAAGCAAUCACUAUUAUCGUAUUGAUUUUUGGUUUAGCA